RNAcentral lists this ribosomal RNA (265 nucleotides) under uncultured bacterium. Its description in RNAcentral is "partial 16S ribosomal RNA". It matches the Rfam family "Bacterial small subunit ribosomal RNA", at positions 29 to 319 of the family's 1533-position model. The record is from RNAcentral.
AACGAACGCUGGCGGCAGGCUUAACACAUGCAAGUCGAACGGGCACCUUCGGGUGUCAGUGGCAGACGGGUGAGUAACGCGUGGGAACGUACCCUUCGGUUCGGAAUAACCACGGGAAACGUUAGGGCGUAACACCGGAUACGUCCGCAAGGAGAAGAUUAUCGCCGAGGAUCGGCCCGCGUAGGAUUAGCUAGUUGGUGAGGUAACGGCUCACCAAGGCGACGAUCCUUAGCUGGUCUGAGAGGAUGAUCAGCCACACUGGGAC